AGAGCUUUUCAGCCUUUUGGGGAAGCUGAAGUGUAGUGUGUGUGUGUUCUUACCAGUUUCUUAUCUGAUAGGUGGCUGCAAGGAUUUGCUGUUAAAUAGCAUUAUGGAGACAGGAGAUGCUUUGGGAGCUUGCUGCAGCCACUUCACGCGUGGCCCUGGUACCACAGUACCUCCUGGUGCGCUGUUAGCCCU
This 192-nucleotide small nuclear RNA is filed under the name Leptosomus discolor (cuckoo roller). RNAcentral describes it as "U2 spliceosomal RNA". It matches the Rfam family "U2 spliceosomal RNA". From Rfam's summary of the family: U2 is a small nuclear RNA (snRNA) component of the spliceosome (involved in pre-mRNA splicing). Complementary binding between U2 snRNA (in an area lying towards the 5' end but 3' to hairpin I) and the branchpoint sequence (BPS) of the intron results the bulging out of an unpaired adenosine, on the BPS, which initiates a nucleophilic attack at the intronic 5' splice site, thus starting the first of two transesterification reactions that mediate splicing. The record is from Rfam by way of RNAcentral. Lineage: Eukaryota; Metazoa; Chordata; Aves; Leptosomiformes; Leptosomidae.